Molecule: ribosomal RNA, 206 nt
Filed under: uncultured bacterium
Lineage: Bacteria
Description: partial 16S ribosomal RNA
Rfam family: Bacterial small subunit ribosomal RNA
Source: RNAcentral
UGCGUAGGUGGCGAGGUAAGUUGGAUGUGAAAUCCCAGGGCUUAACCCUGGAACUGCAUUCAAUACUGCCUUGCUAGAGUACUGGAGAGGAGAUUGGAAUUUACGGUGUAGCAGUGAAAUGCGUAGAUAUCGUAAGGAAGACUAGUGGCGAAGGCGGAUCUCUGGACAGUUACUGACACUGAGGACAAGGCCAGGGGAGCGAAACG